AUACAGAGGGUGCGAGCGUUAAUCGGAAUUACUGGGCGUAAAGGGUGCGUAGGCGGCUUGAUAAGUCGGAUGUGAAAGCCCCGGGCUUAACCUGGGAAUUGCAUUCGAUACUGUCAGGCUAGAGUAUGUCAGAGGUUGGCGGAAUUCCUGGUGUAGCGGUGAAAUGCGUAGAUAUCAGGAGGAACACCAGUGGCGAAGGCGGCUAACUGGGACAAUACUGACGCUGAGGCACGAAGGCGUGGGGAGCAACCAGGAUUAGAAACCCUAGUAGUCC
This 274-nucleotide ribosomal RNA is filed under the name uncultured bacterium. Its description in RNAcentral is "partial 16S ribosomal RNA". It matches the Rfam family "Bacterial small subunit ribosomal RNA", at positions 523 to 796 of the family's 1533-position model. The record is from RNAcentral.